UACGUAGGGAGCAAGCGUUGUUCGGAUUUACUGGGCGUAAAGCGUGCGUAGACGGCUAUCUAAGUCGGGUGUGAAAGCCCCGGGCUCAACCUGGGAAUUGCAUUCGAGACUGAAUAGCUAGGGUACGGUAGAGGGAAGCGGAAUUUCCGGUGUAGCGGUGAAAUGCGUAGAUAUCGGAAGGAACAUCAGUGGCGAAAGCGGCUUCCUGGACCAGUACCGACGUUCAGGCACGAAAGCGUGGGGAGCAAACAGG
RNAcentral lists this ribosomal RNA (253 nucleotides) under uncultured bacterium. RNAcentral's name for it is "partial 16S ribosomal RNA". It matches the Rfam family "Bacterial small subunit ribosomal RNA", at positions 524 to 776 of the family's 1533-position model. The record is from RNAcentral.